RNAcentral lists this long non-coding RNA (1238 nucleotides) under Equus caballus (horse). RNAcentral's name for it is "lncRNA (ENSECAG00000058281.1)". The record is from RNAcentral. Lineage: Eukaryota; Metazoa; Chordata; Mammalia; Perissodactyla; Equidae.
GGAAGUUGUAAAAAAAGAAGAAAAAAAAAAAAUUGGUCCCCGAGAGAGAGAACAAACAUUCUAAGCCACUCUGACUCUUACAAACAGAAUCUCUGAUAACCUCACAGUGCCUCGGCUACAGGGUGGCAACAAAGGUAGCCGCCAACCAAUGGCUUUGACAGAAUGAGGCACCCCUUGGCAUGCCUGCUAGAGGCAAACAGAUCUCUCUAGCACUCAUCCAGGGACUGGGGAGGUCUGGGGAGGCUGGUUUGCUCCACUGCGCCCCCUCCCUUUUUUCUGCCUCGCAUUCAUGUCUCUCUCAUUUCAUUCCUGUGGAGCCAACUCUGAAGCUGUUGAAAGAGGAUUGACUAUUGCUCCAUCAGCCACCUGGCAGCCCGCAACCACGACCAGCUUUACUUAAACCCAUGAGUGGCUUCAAAAGGAAAAGCAGGGGAAAAGGGAAAGAAAAAAAAGAGAAAAAAGAGGUAGAUGGCAUGCAGAUGGUAGCCAGGCCUUGGAAACUGACUGCAGCACCGAGAUACAGAAGAACAGAACAGGUGAAAAACAGGAAUCUACGGAUCAAAACAACAAUGUUCUGAAAUGAGCAACAACAGGGGGAUGGGGAAAAACUACCCUCCUCCAUUGCCUGCAGCCCAGAACAGCAGGUGUGCCUAUUUUCAGAGGAAAUAAUCAGAAAUGAAGGAAUCUGAGAGAUCAUCAACUGGCCAGCAUCCCCAUUUUACAGAUAUAGAAAUUGUGGCCCAUUUCCCAGCUUGCACUUUCUAAGUGACUUGGAUGAAUCUGAAGACAAAACCUGAUUGGACCGUUUACUUGCUCCUCUGCACCUAGCUGCUCUGGGACCAGAUGUUCUCUGACUUCUCCGAGCUAACACAUCUCAUCAACUGACUUGAUGUGCUGCUCUGCCCAGCCUUUAGCAGACCAUCUCCCGGGACUGCCUAAAAACACACUACCCUUGUGCUGCUUUUGAAUUUGCAUCCAGAUGAAAUCCAGUUCAUGGGAACCACAAGGACAGCCUUUAAAGGGAAAAGCAAAGGAAAUUUCACAAGAGGGCAACCAGCUGCAUGAGGAGCAGAGGAGACAAAGAAGAAGGAAUUGAUUACUGCCUUGGUUGACGUUAAGUGAUUAAUGACAUUGAGUGGACCCCCCCCCCAACACACACACACAGGAUCUCUGCAGAUUCCAACCUUCUUCCCCAAACUUGGAGGCUGGGAAUAUUUUCUCCCUCCCCUGGAUCUCAC